UACAGAGGUCUCAAGCGUUGUUCGGAUUCAUUGGGCGUAAAGGGUGCGUAGGUGGCGCCGUAAGUCAGGUGUGAAAUUUCGGAGCUUAACUCCGAAACUGCAUUUGAUACUGCGGUGCUUGAGGACUGGAGAGGAGACUGGAAUUCACGGUGUAGCAGUGAAAUGCGUAGAGAUCGUGAGGAAGACCAGUGGCGAAGGCGGGUCUCUGGGGUAUUUCUGACGCUGAGGCACGAAAGCCAGGGGAGCGAACGGG
This 253-nucleotide ribosomal RNA is filed under the name uncultured bacterium. Its description in RNAcentral is "partial 16S ribosomal RNA". It matches the Rfam family "Bacterial small subunit ribosomal RNA", at positions 524 to 776 of the family's 1533-position model. The record is from RNAcentral.